CCUACGGGGGGCAGCAGUGGGGAAUAUUGCACAAUGGGCGCAAGCCUGGUGCAGCCAUGCCGCGUGUGUGAAGAAGGCCUUCGGGUUGUAAAGCACUUUCAGCGGGGAGGAAGGCGGUGAGGUUAAUAACCUCAUCGAUUGACGUUACCCGCAGAAGAAGCACCGGCUAACUCCGUGCCAGCAGCCGCGGUAAUACGGAGGGUGCAAGCGUUAAUCGGAAUUACUGGGCGUAAAGCGCACGCAGGCGGUCUGUCAAGUCGGAUGUGAAAUCCCCGGGCUCAACCUGGGAACUGCAUUCGAAACUGGCAGGCUAGAGUCUUGUAGAGGGGGGUAGAAUUCCAGGUGUAGCGGUGAAAUGCGUAGAGAUCUGGAGGAAUACCGGUGGCGAAGGCGGCCCCCUGGACAAAGACUGACGCUCAGGUGCGAAAGCGUGGGGAGCAAACAGGAUUAGAUACCCGUGUAGUC
This 465-nucleotide ribosomal RNA is filed under the name uncultured Klebsiella sp. Its description in RNAcentral is "bacterial SSU rRNA". It matches the Rfam family "Bacterial small subunit ribosomal RNA", at positions 338 to 795 of the family's 1533-position model. Lineage: Bacteria; Pseudomonadati; Pseudomonadota; Gammaproteobacteria; Enterobacterales; Enterobacteriaceae. The record is from RNAcentral.